UACGUAGGGUGCGAGCGUUAAUCGGAAUUACUGGGCGUAAAGCGUGCGCAGGCGGAUUGUUAAGCAAGAUGUGAAAUCCCCGGGCUUAACCUGGGAAUGGCAUUUUGAACUGGCAGUCUAGAGUGUGUCAGAGGGGGGUGGAAUUCCACGUGUAGCAGUGAAAUGCGUAGAUAUGUGGAAGAAUACCUGUGGCGAAGGCGGUUUUCUAGCUUACACCUGACGCUGAGGCGCGAAAGCAAGGGGAUCAAACAGG
RNAcentral lists this ribosomal RNA (253 nucleotides) under uncultured bacterium. RNAcentral's name for it is "partial 16S ribosomal RNA". It matches the Rfam family "Bacterial small subunit ribosomal RNA", at positions 524 to 776 of the family's 1533-position model. The record is from RNAcentral.